RNAcentral lists this long non-coding RNA (1499 nucleotides) under Vulpes vulpes (red fox). RNAcentral's name for it is "lncRNA (ENSVVUG00000013644.1)". The record is from RNAcentral. Lineage: Eukaryota; Metazoa; Chordata; Mammalia; Carnivora; Canidae.
UGGGAUGUUUACGGGUGACUCCAUGGCAUACUGAUCUUUGUAAAAGCUCUGAGUUGAGAGAAAUGCGGGUGUUGCUCAGCUACUGGAAUGUGUUGAAGUUGCCAAUGCUCUGCCCUGCGUCCCAACCAACCAAUGGAAUCAUCCACCCUGACCCCGGGUGAGGCCUGGACCAUGCGGACGCUCCGUGAAGGCAGAAUGCAUACUUUUGUACAGUCCCUGCUGCGAUCCUUCCAGGAGAGGAGCCUCUCAGAAAACGCGGUUGUUUUCCGUGUCUGCCAGGUGUUUUGCACAGCCCAAAGGGUCCUGGGCCAGCAGCUCCACAGGUGGAAUUAAAGACGCAAAGCAGGUGAACGUCUGUGAAGGGAAGGAAAGACAAAUAAGAUGGAAACAGAGACGGAGGAAAAAUAGACUCAAUCCUAGAAAACACACUGCAGGUCGCUGGAGGGGAGGGGAGGGGGGGUAACGGGGACGGGCAUGAAGGAGGGCACGGGAUGUCACGAGCACUGCUGUUCUCUCCAACUGGUGAAUCCCUGAAUUCCACCUCUGAAAGUAUAAUACACUACACUGUUAACUAAUUGGGUUUAAAUUAAGUUCAUCUUAAUUUAAAAAAAAAAAAUCCCUUGUAUCAGAGCACAUGUCCUUCUGGGCUCUCUGUUCUGCUCCUUCAGCUGAUGCCGGAACCACCCCCCAUAGGUCUGGUUUGUUUAAGUAGGUGCCACGCCUGGUCCACGGCCCAACCCAGGGCUAGAACUCACGACCCCGAGAUCACGCCUCCCAGGUGACUGUAGGUGGGGACAUCUGUGACCCCCAGUCUGCCUUGAAGAGCGGGAGGCCUGGAGGGCCCAAAGAUGGGAACUAAGGAUGUGGGAGGGUGCCUGCAUCCCCUUCUGGCCAGUGUGGGGACAGGACCCUCCCCCGAGACCCUCGGCCUUCAGGGUGAAGGGCUAAGUGCUGAUUGGACCCCGCCUGCCCCACAUUAUGAUGCGGGACCCCACUGUGGGCGGAACUGUGGUGCCCCCGGGCUCCACCGCUGCCUGGUGCCCACUCUGCGUCCGCAGACCUUCGGAGGCACUCGUGCUCCGGAUUUGGCUUGCAGCGACCCGACUCUUCUCUCCCCAGUAGCCCAGUACUCCUCUCUCCUCAGUACCCCAACUCUCCCACUCUCUCCAGUACCCCAGUACUCCCACUCUCCCCAGUACCCCAACCCUCCCACUCUCCCCAGUACCCCAGUGCAUAAAGAGGAGGCGCUCACACAGCGACAGGUCACAGCCCGCAGGGACACUCGCUGGCCUGCCCACCCACCACCAUCUCUGUGCAGGCCCCGGGCUGGGAGACGUCACCCCCGAGCAUCAGCACGAUGCAGGAGGACCUGGAGACCCUGCUGGCCUUGCAAAGGGCCAAUAUCGUGGCCCAGUACCAUCAGUUUCAAGGAGCUGCCCAGCCCCAGCCCCCGCAAGGCCAAGAAACUCCACCAGGAGACCCGGCACGCCAACAAAUAG